CUGGUCCUCAAAUGGGGGCAUGUGCACACUCUGUUUACACAUCCACUCACACCUGUGCACCCUCCGUAGUUCUGUGGCCUGGGGGGCUCUGCUCCUCUUGCUGCGGUUCUAUGUAUUUACAUACACACACACACUGUAAUGAAGUCUCAUGGAAUGUACAUCGCGUUUAACGCAAUACAAUACAACUUUCAGCAACGGAUCUCUUGGCUCUCGCAUCGAUGAAGAACGCAGCGAAAUGCGAUAAGUAAUGUGAAUUGCAGAAUUCAGUGAAUCAUCGAAUCUUUGAACGCACCUUGCGCCCUUUGGCUAUUCCGAAGGGCAUGCCUGUUUGAGUAUCAUGAACACCUCAACUCUCGUGGCUUGCCAUGAUGAGCUUGGACUUUGGGGGUCUUGCUGGCCUGUGGGUCGGCUCCUCUCAAAUAAAUCAGCUUGCCAGUGUUUGGUGGCAUCACAAGUGUGAUAACUAUCUACGCUUGCGGUUUCCCACCAGGUAACCUUCAGCGAUGGGGGUUCGCUGGGGCUCAUAAAUGUCUUUCCCCGUAAAGACAGCUCUCUGAACAUUUGAUCUCAAAUCAGGUAGGACUACCCGCUGAACUUAAGCAUAUCAAUAAGCGGAGGAAAAGAAACUAACAAGGAUUCCCCUAGUAACUGCGAGUGAAGCGGG
RNAcentral lists this ribosomal RNA (664 nucleotides) under uncultured Tomentella. RNAcentral's name for it is "eukaryotic LSU rRNA". The stretch from base 184 to 338 matches the Rfam family "5.8S ribosomal RNA". Lineage: Eukaryota; Fungi; Basidiomycota; Agaricomycetes; Thelephorales; Thelephoraceae. The record is from RNAcentral.